GGUACAACUGGGUCGGGCUGUGACUUGAACCCGCUAACUGAUCCGAUUUCACUUUUUUUUGAGUGAAUUGUAGGAGGAAUUAUAUAUUUUUUCUCUUUUUAUAAAACCAAAAUAUGUAUAUAUGUACAUAUUUUAAAAUAUAAAAUAUAGAUUUUCCUAGUAAAGCAGGAAGGCCUAAGUAUUUACCGUGAUGGUGUUAUAGCAAUCAGACAGCAGUAUCUGAGUCAGAAUAAAGUUUUCAAGUUAUUUCAAAAAUUAGUUAGCUAUUUUUUCUCUCACUUGAGGCCGUUAGUUUGUUUUCUUCUCAUGUGUGUCUCUUUUGUUCCAUUAUGUAUAUAAAGCUCAGCCCUUUCAUUCAAUAAGAUGAGAUUUUCAGUUUCAAUUUCUUAUUAUGGUAUCAGAGCAAUAACCACUUCUCUGUUUCAAAUCUAAGAUUUUCUCUCAC
Molecule: unclassified non-coding RNA, 445 nt
Filed under: Hevea brasiliensis (rubber tree)
Lineage: Eukaryota; Viridiplantae; Streptophyta; Magnoliopsida; Malpighiales; Euphorbiaceae
Source: RNAcentral